Molecule: RNA transcript, 2212 nt
Organism: Kogia breviceps (pygmy sperm whale)
Lineage: Eukaryota; Metazoa; Chordata; Mammalia; Artiodactyla; Physeteridae
Gene: AP1S2
Gene name: adaptor related protein complex 1 subunit sigma 2
Source: RefSeq, a predicted model, not a curated record
GCCUAAGCCUUCACUCCGCGAACCGGGUCCUCUCCCCACAGCAACACGGCUUCUCUUCCUCAGCUCAGCGACAGGGGCUUCCCCUCAGCCGCCGCCGCCGCCGCCGCCGCCGCCGGCCGAGCUCCGCCGCGCCUGCGGCCCGCGGCCGCUAUGCAGUUUAUGUUGCUUUUUAGUCGUCAGGGAAAGCUUCGACUGCAGAAAUGGUACGUCCCAUUAUCAGACAAAGAGAAGAAAAAGAUCACAAGAGAACUUGUUCAAACCGUUUUAGCACGGAAACCUAAAAUGUGCAGCUUUCUUGAGUGGCGAGAUCUGAAGAUUGUUUACAAAAGAUAUGCCAGUCUGUAUUUUUGCUGUGCUAUUGAGGAUCAGGACAAUGAACUAAUUACCCUGGAAAUAAUUCAUCGUUAUGUGGAAUUACUUGACAAGUAUUUUGGCAGUGUGUGUGAACUUGAUAUCAUCUUUAAUUUUGAGAAGGCUUAUUUUAUUUUGGAUGAGUUUCUUUUGGGAGGAGAAGUUCAGGAAACAUCCAAGAAAAAUGUCCUUAAAGCAAUUGAGCAGGCUGAUCUACUACAGGAGAGCCAGAAUGAAGAAUGGGGAGGUUUGUCUGAGGAUAUCUUAUGAUAAAGAGCAGUCUAAGGCUUUAGUCACUUUGACCCCCACCUUAUUUAUUGGAAGCUGAAACCCCACGUAGCGUUCUUGAAGAAAUUGGACUGACAUAACUCUCCUCCCCUGUUGAUGACUUCUUGUGGCAUUUCACACACUGUAGAUGGUUACUGCCUUCAUGUCCAUGUUAGCUAAUGGUGUAAGAUGAUGUCUUGUCAGUAUUACUGUUCUGCUAAGCUGUUUCAUUCAGGCCUACACAAUCUUUUUUAAAAGGGAACUUUGGUUAAUCAAGUGAUAACAAGGGACUUAAAUAUGAAUAGAACGAAUGCAGGAAAAGAAAGGUACUUUUUCUGGCUAUUUUAAAGUUUAUAGGUCUGUUUAUCUUGGAUAGAUUAUCAUUACCUUGAUUAUGUGUAUCUAUGAAUAUGACACAAUCAGGCAAUAUAGAUUUAUUAAUUACUGUCUUGGCAAAAACGUUAAAUUAUGUGAAAUCUGGUUUUGUGAAACCAAAGACUAGUGCAUUUUAAUAUAUAUGCGAAUAAAGGGAAUUGACAUGUCACAUAUCAAAUGAAUAAAAAUUUCACUCUAUGUUGAAAGUUUAGAAAAAAACCCAAAUGUAUACCAAAGACCCUUAUUAGAAACUAAACACCUUAAAACAAAGGGAAUACACAAAAGACUAAUGGAAUGAUGCUGUUUUACACUAAAAAUGAUUUCUUAGGCCUUCCAGACCUGAGACGAGGAACCGAGAUCAGCUGUUUCAUAACAGUAAGCAUGUUAUUUUUAAGGCCAAGGAACGUUUGACUCCUGAGAUAAAUUUCUUGUUGUCAUAAUCAUUUAGUCACUUAGUUGUAUUGUUCUUGAUGCCCCCCAAAUAAAAUGGAAAUGUUGACUUACCAGGGAUUCUUAAUAACAGUAUGUUAUGGAAAAUGUUUUACUCCCUUCACAAAGUAUUGCAUAAGUCACUGUUUAAAGCACGAAUAUUCCUUCCAGGGUGCUUGUUACAGCCAAAUUUAUUUUACUCCCCUAUUGCUUCCCUCCACUUAGAAGUGCAGCAAACUUUAGGGCAGCUUCCUUCCCUUCUAUGGCACUGCCUAGUUAUUGGAAGUCAUAAAUAUAAAAACAUACCACCUCUCAUAUGAAAGUGUGAGUUGAAUGAGGUAAAAUGGCACUCGUGGGCUCUAUAUUUUUAAAGGAUGUACAGUUGUUUCAAUGUCACUUUUAUACAUACUUCUAUGUAUGUAAACAUGUCUUCACAGUUUACAUUUUCAUAUGUAUCUGCUGGGCUGGAUUAAGCUUUGUUGUGAUUGUGACCAAUAUUCAGGCCACGUGAGCACGUCUUAUCACAUCGCCAAUUAGUUGUAAUAAAUGUUCAAUGUACACCACUGUCGUCUGUUUUUAUCUGUCUCUUUCCAAAAGUUUGUCAAAUUAUGAAGAGCUGCUGAAGGAAGAAUUUAAAGAAAAACUUUUUUGAGUAAAAUGUUGAAAAUUCACCCGCAUUUGAAUGUGGUGGUGGUUAAAAGCACACACACGAUAAAUGGCGGAAGAUUUAAGGAGUCUUCAUGUACUUCAAGCUCAUUAAUAACGUGGAGUCCAUGCUACUGAGAGCUUA